RNAcentral lists this ribosomal RNA (484 nucleotides) under uncultured bacterium. RNAcentral describes it as "partial 16S ribosomal RNA". It matches the Rfam family "Bacterial small subunit ribosomal RNA", at positions 28 to 523 of the family's 1533-position model. The record is from RNAcentral.
GACGAACGCUGGCGGCGUGCUUAACACAUGCAAGUCGAACGAUGAAGCCGGAGCUUGCUCUGGUGAAUUAGUGGCGAACGGGUGAGUAACACGUGAGUAACCUGCCCUUGACUCUGGGAUAACUGCUAGAAAUGGUAGCUAAUACCGGAUACGACCCUCGGAGGCAUCUCCAGGGGGUGGAAAGAAUUUCGGUCAAGGAUGGACUCGCGGCCUAUCAGCUAGUUGGUGAGGUAACGGCUCACCAAGGCGACGACGGGUAGCCGGCCUGAGAGGGGGACCGGCCACACUGGGACUGGGACACGGCCCAGACUCCUACGGGAGGCAGCAGUGGGGAAUAUUGCACGAUGGGCGCAAGCCUGAUGCAGCAACGCCGCGUGAGGGAUGACGGCCUUCGGGUUGUAAACCUCUUUUAGUAGGGAAGAAGCGAAAGUGACGGUACCUGCAGAAAAAGCACCGGCUAACUACGUGCCAGCCGCCGCCGUAA